Molecule: unclassified non-coding RNA, 261 nt
Filed under: Rhizophagus sp. (in: glomeromycetes)
Lineage: Eukaryota; Fungi; Glomeromycota; Glomeromycetes; Glomerales; Glomeraceae
Description: partial contains 5.8S ribosomal RNA and internal transcribed spacer 2
Rfam family: 5.8S ribosomal RNA (bases 1-65)
Source: RNAcentral
GUGAAUCAUCAAAUUUUUGAACGCAAAUUGCACUCUCUUCGGAGAGUAUGCCUGUUUGAGGGUCAGUAUUAAUAAAAAUCGGUGUGUUGCUUCUUUUUGACUCUCCGGAGUUUGGGUUAUCUUAAUAUCCUUUAGGUUUUAAGAGGCUUACAAUUGACUUUUUUUUCACAUUUUAGAUGUCCAUAAAUUAUUUUUUUAUUCGUCUGCCUUAAUUUUCAAAUUCCUAUUAGAUCCGACCAGAUCGUGUGCUUUCGUGUCUAU